This 478-nucleotide ribosomal RNA is filed under the name uncultured bacterium. Its description in RNAcentral is "partial 16S ribosomal RNA". It matches the Rfam family "Bacterial small subunit ribosomal RNA", at positions 28 to 507 of the family's 1533-position model. The record is from RNAcentral.
GAUGAACGCUGGCGGCGUGCUUAACACAUGCAAGUCGAACGGGAAACCUUUUAUUGAAGCUUCGGCAGAUUUAGCUGGUUUCUAGUGGCGGACGGGUGAGUAACGCGUGGGUAACCUGCCUUAUACAGGGGGAUAACAGUCAGAAAUGGCUGCUAAUACCGCAUAAGCGCACAGAGCUGCAUGGCUCAGUGUGAAAAACUCCGGUGGUAUAAGAUGGACCCGCGUUGGAUUAGCUGGUUGGUGGGGUAACGGCCCACCAAGGCGACGAUCCAUAGCCGGCCUGAGAGGGUGAACGGCCACAUUGGGACUGAGACACGGCCCAGACUCCUACGGGAGGCAGCAGUGGGGAAUAUUACACAAUAGGGGAAACCCUGAUGCAGCGACGCCGCGUGAAGGAAGAAGUAUCUCGGUAUGUAAACUUCUAUCAGCAGGGAAGAUAAUGACGGUACCUGACUAAGAAGCCCCGGCUAACUACGUG